GUGCUCACUUUGGCAGCACAUAUACUAAAAUUGGAGUGAUACAGAGAAGAUUAGCAUGGCCCCUGAGCAAAGAUGACACAUGAAUUCAUGAAGCGUUCCAUAUUUAA
RNAcentral lists this small nuclear RNA (107 nucleotides) under Tupaia belangeri (northern tree shrew). The record is from RNAcentral. Lineage: Eukaryota; Metazoa; Chordata; Mammalia; Scandentia; Tupaiidae.